AUUGAACGCUGGCGGCGGCCUAACACAUGCAAGUCGAACGGUAACAGGGAUCAGCUUGCUGAUUCGCUGGCGAGUGGCGGACGGGUGAGUAAUGUCUGGGAAACUGCCUGAUGGAGGGGGAUAACUACUGGAAACGGUAGCUAAUACCGCAUAACGUCGCAAGACCAAAGAGGGGGACCUUCGGGCCUCUUGCCAUCGGAUGUGCCCAGAUGGGAUUAGCUAGUAGGUGGGGUAACGGCUCACCUAGGCGACGAUCCCUAGCUGGUCUGAGAGGAUGACCAGCCACACUGGAACUGAGACACGGUCCAGACUCCUACGGGAGGCAGCAGUGGGGAAUAUUGCACAAUGGGCGCAAGCCUGAUGCAGCCAUGCCGCGUGUAUGAAGAAGGCCUUCGGGUUGUAAAGUACUUUCAGCGGGGAGGAAGGGAGUAAAGUUAAUACCUUUGCUCAUUGACGUUACCCGCAGAAGAAGCACCGGCUAACUCCGUG
RNAcentral lists this ribosomal RNA (489 nucleotides) under uncultured bacterium. RNAcentral describes it as "partial 16S ribosomal RNA". It matches the Rfam family "Bacterial small subunit ribosomal RNA", at positions 30 to 507 of the family's 1533-position model. The record is from RNAcentral.